AACACUCAAUAAAACCUCUCAUAAACUUUGAAGAGAGAACCCAGAGAUCUAGACUACAACCCGUACAGAAAUCACACACCCCAAAACAGAAAAAAAAACUCUCAGUUGCGCUCAAGAUUCUGCAACUCCUUUCACUCUGCAGAAUGAAGACGAUGAAGUUAGUUUUAACUAACUUCAGUCUGAUCUGAUCAGAGCCGUUCAUCAAAAUCAACGGACGAGAUUAAAACCCAGCAACUAAUAAGUAUUGCAGAUAAGUCCCUCCGUGUUUCUGAACUUUGCACAUCAACCCUUCCGCAGCAACGCGUUUCCUCCAAUUAAAAGAGAAGCACGACUUUGAGAAUAAACAAAUAACAGGACGGCUGUGGCGCUCUCACCGGACUUGGCCGAAGUAUUACCAACGGCACAAUGCCGCCGGUUAUAACCGACAACAUUUUGUCGUCGUUAAUAUUUUAUUUAUUUAUUUAUUUUAUUGUGUAUCCAUAAUUUAUUUCCGUAUUUAUACAGUAUUGCAUAAGUUAGACGGACUUCCUAGUCGGUCACCCAUCUUAGUUGUGCUCUAAGUCAAGCACGCUUAACCUUGAAGUUAUUUUCGAGUGGUCACCAGAACAGAACACUCAUAUUAUUGAUAUAUCUAGUACCUAUUAAUUCAUUUAAAUUCUACUUCAAUAUAAAAAAUAUUAUAUAUUCAUAACCUNUAUUGCAUAAGUUAGACGGACUUCCUAGUCGGUCACCCAUCUUAGUUGUGCUCUAAGUCAAGCACGCUUAACCUUGAAGUUAUUUUCGAGUGGUCACCAGAACAGAACACUCAUAUUAUUGAUAUAUCUAGUACCUAUUAAUUCAUUUAAAUUCUACUUCAAUAUAAAAAAAUAUUAUAUAUUCAUAACCUUAGAAUAUGUCGAGAUGAUAUCCAAGAGAUAUUGUUAAUUACGGAUCGGGUUCGUUUCCGUCCUUAUUUUUAUGUCGAAAAAUAUUUUAUUUAUUAAUUUAUUAUUAUUAUUAUUAUUAUUGUUGUUGUUGUUGUUGUUGUUGUUGUUGUUGUUGUUGUUUUAAUCAAUCUAGAUUAUACCCCAUAAGUAUUUUAAUUUGGUAUUUGCAAUGUAUUUUGAACUCAAUUAUAUACAUCUAGUUCCUAUUAAGAUUCUUCAAUUAAAGAGUGAUUAGUUGAAAUUCUACAUAAGAUUCUUGAUUCUAAACUAGAUUAGUGAAGAUUCUU
This 1213-nucleotide long non-coding RNA is filed under the name Salvia miltiorrhiza (redroot sage). Its description in RNAcentral is "long non-coding RNA (SMIL_LNC005692)". The record is from RNAcentral. Lineage: Eukaryota; Viridiplantae; Streptophyta; Magnoliopsida; Lamiales; Lamiaceae.